This 222-nucleotide ribosomal RNA is filed under the name uncultured bacterium. RNAcentral's name for it is "partial 16S ribosomal RNA". It matches the Rfam family "Bacterial small subunit ribosomal RNA", at positions 109 to 334 of the family's 1533-position model. The record is from RNAcentral.
AGUAAUGUCUGGGAAACUGCCUGAUGGAGGGGGAUAACUACUGGAGACGGUAGCUAAUACCGCAUAACGUCUUCGGACCAAAGUGGGGGACCUUCGGGCCUCACGCCAUCGGAUGUGCCCAGAUGGGAUUAGCUAGUAGGUGGGGUAAUGGCUCACCUAGGCGACGAUCCCUAGCUGGUCUGAGAGGAUGACCAGCCACACUGGAACUGAGACACGGUCCAG